CAGAGGGGGCAAGCGUUAUUCGGAAUUAUUGGGCGUAAAGGGCGCGUAGGCGGCUUUGCAAGUGGCGGGUGAAAUCCCUCGGCUUAACCGAGGAACUGCCUGCCAGACUGUGAGGCUUGAGACCGGGAGAGGUGAGUGGAAUUCCCAGUGUAGCGGUGAAAUGCGUAGAUACUGGGAGGAACACCAGUGGCGAAGGCGGCUCACUGGACCGGAACUGACGCUGAGGCGCGAAAGCGUGGGGAGCAAACAGGAUUAGAUACCCUGGUAGUCCACGCCGUAAACGAUGAGUGCUUGGUGUAGCGGGUAUCGACCCCUGCUGUGCCGACGUCAACACAUUAAGCACUCCGCCUGGGGAGUACGGUCGCAAGACUG
RNAcentral lists this ribosomal RNA (372 nucleotides) under uncultured organism. Its description in RNAcentral is "bacterial SSU rRNA". It matches the Rfam family "Bacterial small subunit ribosomal RNA", at positions 526 to 896 of the family's 1533-position model. The record is from RNAcentral.